AGAAAAGUCUCUAUCGAGGUUAAAGGUACCCGUACCGCAAACCGACACAGGUGGGUGAGGAGAGUAUCCUAAGGCCCGCGAGAGAACUGUUGUUAAGGAACUCGGCAAAAUGACCCCGUAACUUAGGGAUAAGGGGUGCCACCAUCCGGUGGCCGCAGAGAAUAGGCCCAAGCGACUGUUUACCAAAAACAUAGGUUUCUGCUAAGUCGCAAGACGAUGUAUAGGAGCUGACGCCUGCCCGGUGCUGGAAGGUUAAGGGGAUCUGUUAGAGCAAUCGAAGCAGUGAACUUAAGCCCCAGUAAACGGCGGCCGUAACUAUAACGGUCCUAAGGUAGCGAAAUUCCUUGUCGGGUAAGUUCCGACCCGCACGAAAGGCGUAACGAUUUGGGCACUGUCUCAACAACAGACUCGGUGAAAUUGUAAUUCCGGUGAAGAUGCCGGAUACCUGCGACAGGACGGAAAGACCCCAUGG
RNAcentral lists this ribosomal RNA (472 nucleotides) under Clostridioides difficile. RNAcentral describes it as "partial 23S ribosomal RNA". It matches the Rfam family "Bacterial large subunit ribosomal RNA", at positions 1611 to 2096 of the family's 2925-position model. Lineage: Bacteria; Bacillati; Bacillota; Clostridia; Peptostreptococcales; Peptostreptococcaceae. The record is from RNAcentral.